RNAcentral lists this ribosomal RNA (751 nucleotides) under Paenarthrobacter nicotinovorans. RNAcentral's name for it is "bacterial SSU rRNA". It matches the Rfam family "Bacterial small subunit ribosomal RNA", at positions 56 to 823 of the family's 1533-position model. Lineage: Bacteria; Bacillati; Actinomycetota; Actinomycetes; Micrococcales; Micrococcaceae. The record is from RNAcentral.
UGCAGUCGAACGAUGAUCCCAGCUUGCUGGGGGAUUAGUGGCGAACGGGUGAGUAACACGUGAGUAACCUGCCCUUGACUCUGGGAUAAGCCUGGGAAACUGGGUCUAAUACCGGAUAUGACUCCUCAUCGCAUGGUGGGGGGUGGAAAGCUUUUGUGGUUUUGGAUGGACUCGCGGCCUAUCAGCUUGUUGGUGGGGUAAUGGCCUACCAAGGCGACGACGGGUAGCCGGCCUGAGAGGGUGACCGGCCACACUGGGACUGAGACACGGCCCAGACUCCUACGGGAGGCAGCAGUGGGGAAUAUUGCACAAUGGGCGCAAGCCUGAUGCAGCGACGCCGCGUGAGGGAUGACGGCCUUCGGGUUGUAAACCUCUUUCAGUAGGGAAGAAGCGUAAGUGACGGUACCUGCAGAAGAAGCGCCGGCUAACUACGUGCCAGCAGCCGCGGUAAUACGUAGGGCGCAAGCGUUAUCCGGAAUUAUUGGGCGUAAAGAGCUCGUAGGCGGUUUGUCGCGUCUGCUGUGAAAGACCGGGGCUCAACUCCGGUUCUGCAGUGGGUACGGGCAGACUAGAGUGCAGUAGGGGAGACUGGAAUUCCUGGUGUAGCGGUGAAAUGCGCAGAUAUCAGGAGGAACACCGAUGGCGAAGGCAGGUCUCUGGGCUGUAACUGACGCUGAGGAGCGAAAGCAUGGGGAGCGAACAGGAUUAGAUACCCUGGUAGUCCAUGCCGUAAACGUUGGGCACUAGGUGU